This 1111-nucleotide long non-coding RNA is filed under the name Salmo salar (Atlantic salmon). RNAcentral's name for it is "lncRNA (ENSSSAG00000086561.1, ENSSSAG00000117215.1)". Lineage: Eukaryota; Metazoa; Chordata; Actinopteri; Salmoniformes; Salmonidae. The record is from RNAcentral.
CGGUACAGAGUCAAUGUGGAGGCUAUAUACAGGGGGGGACCAGUACAGAGUCAAUGUGGAGGCUAUAUACAGGGGUACCGGUACAGAGUCAAUGUGGAGGCUGUAUACAGGGGGUACCGGUACAGAGUCAAUGUGGAGGCUAUAUACAGGGGGUACCGGUACAGAGUCAAUGUGGAGGCUAUAUACAGGGGGGUACCGGUACAGAGUCAAUGUGGAGGCUAUAUACAGGGGGGUACCGGUACAGAGUCAAUGUGGAGGCUAUAUACAGGGGGGUACCGGUACAGAGUCAAUGUGGAGACAAUAUACAGGGGGGUACCAGUACAGAGUCAAUGUGGAGACUAUAUACAGGGGGGUACCGGUACAGAGUCAAUGUGGAGGCUAUAUACAGGGGGGUACCGGUACAGAGUCAAUGUGGAGGCUAUAUACAGGGGGGUACCAGUACAGAGUCAAUGUGGAGGCUUUAUACCAGGGGGUACCGAUAAGUCAAUGUGGAGACUACAUACGGGGUGUUACGGUACAGAGUCAAUGUGGAGGCUAUAUACAGGGGGUACCGAUAAGUCAAUGUGGAGGCUAUAUACAGGGUGUUACGGUACAGAGUCAAUGUGGAGGCUAUAUACAGGGGGGUACCGGUACAGAGUCAAUGUGGAGGCUCUAUACAGGGGGGUACCGGUACAGAGUCAAUGUGGAGGCUAUAUACCAGGGGUACCGGUACAGAGUCAAUGUGGAGUAUAGAUACAGUGGGGUGCCAUUACAGAGUCAAUGUGGAGACUAUAUACAGGGUGUAACGUUACAGAGUCAAUGUGGAGGCUAUAUACAGGGGUGUACCAGUACAGAGUCAAUGUGGAGGCUGUAUACAGGGGGUACCGGUCCAGAGUCAAUGUGGAGGCUAUAUACAGGGGGGUACCGGUACAGAGUCAAUGUGGAGGCUAUAUACAGGGGGUACCGAUAAGUCAAUGUGGAGGCUAUAUACAGGGUGUUACGGUACAGAGUCAAUGUGGAGGCUAUAUACAGGGGGGUACCGGUACAGAGUAAAUGUGGAGGCUCUAUACAGGGGGGUACCGGUACAGAGUCAAUGUGGAGGCUAUAUACCAGGGGUACCGGUACAGAGUCA